UUAUAAAAAAUAAAAAUCUGUUGUGUUUUCUGAACAAAGAUUCAGCGUGAUUUAUUAGGAAGUAUUAUUGGGUCAUAAGUCACACAAUGCUCCCCUCCC
Molecule: long non-coding RNA, 99 nt
Organism: Nanorana parkeri
Lineage: Eukaryota; Metazoa; Chordata; Amphibia; Anura; Dicroglossidae
Exons: 3
Source: RefSeq, a predicted model, not a curated record